GACAUCGGGGGAAGGCUUUAGACUUCCUCAGAACAUGGCUUCUAAUCCCCAGAACCCUCUAGAGCUGAGGGUCAAGGCCAACUGAGCAUGCUGAGCUCCCACCUUUCUCUUCCCAGUAGGAAGCCCAGGGACCUUGGCUCUGAAAGUAUCAACCGAGGCCAGAGGCGAAGCAAGGCAGGUCCCAGCCAUGGCCGCCACACCACAGCUUGUCCCCCUCAUUGCUGUGCAUUCCUUCAGCACUUGGAGCGCAGUUUUAGUUUGCACUCCGUUAAUUUGUAAGUGUUCUUUUGUCUUUUUUCCUUGGCUGUCCUGACUCCCUCACCCAACAGGGGCUCCCCAAGGGUGGGGGCUGCCUUCCUUGUCAGCCUCCUCAGCGGAAGCCCUGCACUAGUGCCCCUGCACCCAAAGGCUAUAGGGUGCGUGGCACGGACCCUGCAAAGAGCAAAAGAGCUGCUGGAUGGUGCAAAAUGCAAAGCCCCAACAAACAAGGUGAUGAAGGGGCAGUGUCCUCAUUUUCCAGGUGGGAAACUGAGGCUGAGGGAGGCUCCACAGCCACAUCAGACUGGCAGAAAGAGGUGGAGCAGGAACCUAGAUUUUGUUUUCCUACCAGAGCCUCAGCUCACUCUGCUACACUGCCCUGCCUCCCUACCACACAGUCCUGCACUUCCAGAGUACAUGUGAGAUUAGCAAGCCUUCAAGGCACAAACUGGGUCUUAUUCAUCUUCAUCUUCCUGGGGGAACCCGGGCUGAACUUUUCUUCUCCCCAGGGACCCUCCAAAGAACUUCAGGGAAGGACCAGUGAAACAUGAGGCUGCCAGGAGCACCAAACUCUGACCUCUCAUCACCUUAUCAGAGGGGCUCCUUUGGAGCCUGAGAUGUGAGAGUAUGUGGCACCCAGACACUAGGCAGGUCCCAGGCUGGACGGGUUCAGUCCCAGAAUAAUCAACCCACUUGCCAUGGAUACGGAAGGGGGGAAGGGAAGGGCACGGUCUCUGGCUAGGGCUCCACCCCCAGGCCUGUGCCCACGGACCUAAGUGAGGACAGGCAUUUUUGUUUUCCUGCCCAAAUGUUGCAUUUCCCAAGACCACCCUGGCCUGCCACACCCCCUGAUCCUGUACCUAAAAAUCCCUGAGACCCUAGCAGGCAAACACACAGGCAGCUGGACAUCCAGAGGAGCACAUCAGUGGAGGAACACACAAGCGGCUGGACAGCAAGAGGACGUUGAGGGGAGCACGCUGGCGGAAGGGCACAUUGACAGACGCCGGCAGGCCACCCACGGGCAGAAUGAUGCGGAGUUUGGCUGGGGCAGUCGGAGGAGAGCCUGGGCCACCAAGCAGCCCGACUCCAGAGGAAAACCAAUCUCCCUUCUGGCUCCCCUAUCUGCUGAGAGCUACUUCCACUCAAUGAAACCUUGCACUCAUUCUCCAAGCCCACGUGUGAUCCGAUUCUUCCAGUACACCAAGGCAAGAACCCCGGGAUACAGAAAGCCCUCUGUCCUCGCGAUAAGGCAGGGGUCUAACUGAGCUGACUAAUACAAGCCACCUAUGGAUGGCUAAACUAAAAAAGUACCCUGUAACAUACACCCACUGGGGCAUCAGCUAUAAACAUUCACCCCUAGACACUGCCGUGGGGUCGGAGCCCCACAGCCUGCCCAUCUGUAUGCUCCCCUAGAGGUUUGAGCGGCAGAGCCCGGAAGAAGCAAGCCACAUCCCCAUCGCACUCCCUUUGAGGGGGACAAGGAAACUUUUCCUGUUUCACCAUGACUCCCAAAGCCAAGUUUAAGCCCCCAAGUUAAUGGGACACUAACCAUCAUUCCACUUUCUGCAAACAUCUCUGCCAACUGGGAAGGCAUCACAGAGCAUGUUUUUCCCCAGCAAAUUCUUGCAGGACAGGUCCCUGGAUGAGCAUGGCUGACCCAGCUUCACACCCCGCCCCCCGCCUUCUUGUAGUUCUCAGGAUAGCUGUAGGAUGUGUUGGGAAUGCAACAUCUUGAGAUAAGGAGGGCCUGUCUGAGACAGCCUGGGCUCAUGUUCCUACCUCUUCUGGAACAGGAUGUCCUGCAACACUUUAGCACAGUAAGCUGAUGUCCCCCAGGGUGGAAACCCCAGGGUGGAGCGCUCCCAGGCUCCCUCAGUUGCAGUGUGAUGUGGUACGUGGGUGGACGAGACUCCAUCCUCCCUGGGCAGCUUUCUCGAGCCAUGGGGCACCAGCUUGCCUUGAGUGGUAGGCGUCCAUUGUCCCCGAGGCCUAUCUGUGAGUAAUAAAGUUGCUUCGCUUGA
Molecule: long non-coding RNA, 2279 nt
Filed under: Homo sapiens (human)
Lineage: Eukaryota; Metazoa; Chordata; Mammalia; Primates; Hominidae
Description: HSALNT0033983
Source: RNAcentral